AUGAUGUGUGCUGGAGGUGGUGAUGUGUGGAGGUGAUGCUGUGUGCUGGAGGUGGUGAUGAGUGGAGGUGAUGCUGUGUGCUGGAGGUGGUGAUGAGUGGAGGUGAUGCUGUGUGCUGGAGGUGGUGAUGAGUGGAGGUGAUGCUGUGUGCUGGAGGUGGUGAUGAGUGGAGGUAGUGAUGUGUUAGCGGUGAUGAGUGGAGGUGAUGCUGUUUGCUUGUGGUGGUCAUGUUAGCCGGUGGUGGUGAUGUAUGCUUCUGGUGGUGACCGUGCUGUGCUUGUGGUGUUGAGGUGGUGAUGAACUUGCGGAGGUGGUGAAUAGCCGCCCACUAGCCCCUAUUAUUCCCUGUCCCCGCCCACCAAAACCUUAUAACCAUAUU
This is a long non-coding RNA of Eriocheir sinensis (Chinese mitten crab), 379 nucleotides long. RefSeq lists it as uncharacterized. NCBI's taxonomy places the organism in Eukaryota, Metazoa, Arthropoda, Malacostraca, Decapoda, Varunidae. The record is from RefSeq and is a predicted model, not a curated record. The transcript is spliced from 3 exons.